RNAcentral lists this ribosomal RNA (455 nucleotides) under uncultured bacterium. RNAcentral describes it as "bacterial SSU rRNA". It matches the Rfam family "Bacterial small subunit ribosomal RNA", at positions 29 to 524 of the family's 1533-position model. The record is from RNAcentral.
AACGAACGCUGGCGGCAGGCUUAACACAUGCAAGUCGAACGCUUGGGAGCGAUCCCUUGAGUGGCAGACGGGUGAGUAACGCGUGGGAACAUACCCUUCGGUACGGAACAACUUGGGGAAACUCGAGCUAAUACCGUAUGCGGCCUAUGGGCGAAAGAUUGUAUCGCCGAAGGAUUGGCCCGCGUCCGAUUAGCUAGUUGGUGGGGUAACGGCCCACCAAGGCGACGAUCGGUAGCUGGUCUGAGAGGAUGGCCAGCCACAUUGGGACUGAGACACGGCCCAAACUCCUACGGGAGGCAGCAGUGGGGAAUAUUGGACAAUGGGCGCAAGCCUGAUCCAGCCAUGCCGCGUGAGUGAUGAAGGCCUUAGGGUUGUAAAGCUCUUUCGCACGCGACGAUAAUGACGGUAGCGUGAGAAGAAGCCCCGGCUAACUUCGUGCCAGCAGCCGCGGUAAU